RNAcentral lists this ribosomal RNA (578 nucleotides) under uncultured bacterium. RNAcentral describes it as "bacterial SSU rRNA". It matches the Rfam family "Bacterial small subunit ribosomal RNA", at positions 57 to 606 of the family's 1533-position model. The record is from RNAcentral.
GCAUGUUCCACCACUGAGUCUAUUGAGGAGUUGAGUAGACUGAGUGGUGGAAUGAUGGCGAGUGGCGGACGGGUGAGUAAUACGUAGGAACUUGCCUUGGCGAGGGGGAUAACCCGGGGAAACUCGGGCUAAUACCGCAUAAAGUAGAGAUACCAAAGUGGGGGACCCUUCGGGGCCUCACGCGCUGAGAAAGGCCUACGUCGGAUUAGCUAGUUGGUUGGGUAAAGGCUGACCAAGGCUAUGAUCCGUAGCUGGUCUGAGAGGACGAUCAGCCACACUGGGACUGAGACACGGCCCAGACUCCUACGGGAGGCAGCAGUGGGGAAUUUUGGACAAUGGGGGCAACCCUGAUCCAGCAAUGCCGCGUGUGUGAAGAAGGCCUGCGGGUUGUAAAGCACUUUAGGUGGGGAGGAAGGCUCAAUUGUUAAUAGCGAUUGGGAUUGACGUUACCCACAGAAUAAGCACCGGCUAACUCUGUGCCAGCAGCCGCGGUAAUACAGAGGGUGCAAGCGUUAAUCGGAAUUACUGGGCGUAAAGCGCCUGUAGGUGGUUUUAUGAGUUUGAUGUGAAAGCCCUGG